GUAGACAAAUUCUGAUCACUGUAAUUUUCAUUCAGAUAAGCCUGAACAUAGGGCUAAUCAUUUAUAGCCUAGGCUUACAUGUUGAUAGCUACACAAAUGUGUUUGGUGAUUUAUGCAUGUGUAAUACAAGAGUAUAGUAUAAUAGACCUAGCCUAAUAUACGUCAUGGUGUAGCACAUUGUAUAAUAGCCUUUAUUUCAAUGCACUGUCCUACAACCAAAUCAAGAUUGACUCUUUCAAUUGAGCAUACUAAAACACAUAGACUAAACCUAAUAAAAACGGUCUAAAUCAAAGACUCCCCAAACACAAUCACAGCUCAACAAUGCUACAUAUUCUGAUGGAUAUACAGUUGUCCUUUAUUUGGGGUGAAACAACCAUAAAAGUUAGGCUAGGAGUCUUGCUUGUUUGCUUUGAUUGUGAAAGACCCCUCAUUUCUAAAACCACCCACUCAGAUCUCUGAUUGAGGCUCUACUCCAAUCAAUUGUGUGUGCUUACAUGGCGCAGUGUGAAAGUAACCAAUAGUCUGCCAUUAAGUGCCACAGCAGCGCAAAAUUGUAUUGGAUUUGUACCCGGUAUGUAAAAGGAUUUAAAAUGAACUGUAGGCCUACAUCGUGCCCUGCUUAUUCUGCGUAUUUGAGGUUCUUCCACCAGCUUAUUUGACAAAGGCAGAGUGGGGACAAUACUCCUACAUGCCGGGAAUAUUCCAUCAAGUCCAAUGGAAAACAAACGGCUGGUAACCCUGCUAAAUGCGUUUUCAAAGUAUAUAACUGAAGAGCAUAUGAUGGCGAUUGGGCUGGAUGGAAUGGAACAUGAGAGGACUGAGAGGUGCAAGAGCGGCCUGCUCCAGAGGGGCCUGAACGAGCUGAAACUACUGCAGAAGCCUUGCGGAGAAUUAUGCAAAAUACUGAAACAACACAGACAAAUAUGAUCCACUGACAAGGCUGUAAUGACACCAUAGACUACUGAACGGCGUGUGGAUGGCUUUUGCAAAUGUAGAUGCUGAAGUUAUAAAAAAUUCAUAAUACCAGAGCUGGUGUUCUACAAUCAAAGGAAGAGGCUACCCUAUGGAGGACAGCAACAACAGAUCUGAUGUUGAAUGAGGAGAACUCCAUCUUGGAUUGAAGGCAAAUGUGGGUGGUCUGGCCUCCAGCCCAUAGUACAGAACCAGAGAGAGCUACAGAACAUACUGGAUGCAGACCAGAAGUACCUUGGGAGGCGCCAUGCAUGGUUAAUGUGGAUGGAUUCACAAUGGACACCACAGCGUGAGGAGCUGUCUCCCUCUUGAGAAUGCUCACAAGUGAUCAGUGUUUCCUUUAUGCUCACUAAAAGCCUCUGUUAUGUUGUAUUACAUUAUAUUGUGUUACAUUAUAUCAUGUCAUGUGUAAUUGUACAUAGAUGUAUACUGCUAAUUUAUAUGUCUAAUAAUUGAUUUUAAACUGUAUUUUAUUAAUUUCUAAUAAAAGCAUUUGUGUAAUU
Molecule: long non-coding RNA, 1475 nt
Organism: Clupea harengus (Atlantic herring)
Lineage: Eukaryota; Metazoa; Chordata; Actinopteri; Clupeiformes; Clupeidae
Gene: rab11fip2
Exons: 4
Source: RefSeq, a predicted model, not a curated record